AGUGGCGCACGGGUGCGUAACGCGUGGGAACCUGCCUUGAGGUUCGGAAUAACUCAGGGAAACUUGUGCUAAUACCGUAUAAUGUCUUCGGACCAAGAUUUAUCGCCUUUAGAUGGGCCCGCGUUGGAUUAGCUUGUUGGUGGGGUAAUGGCCUACCAAGGCGACGAUCCAUAGCUGGUCUGAGAGGAUGAUCAGCCACACUGGGACUGAGACACGGCCCAGACUCCUACGGGAGGCAGCAGUGGGGAAUAUUGGACAAUGGGCGAAAGCCUGAUCCAGCAAUGCCGCGUGAGUGAUGAAGGCCUUAGGGUUGUAAAGCUCUUUUACCAGGGAUGAUAAUGACAGUACCUGGAGAAUAAGCUCCGGCUAACUCCGUGCCAGCAGCCGCGGUAAUACGGAGGGAGCUAGCGUUGUUCGGAAUUACUGGGCGUAAAGCGCACGUAGGCGG
RNAcentral lists this ribosomal RNA (448 nucleotides) under uncultured Alphaproteobacteria bacterium. RNAcentral's name for it is "bacterial SSU rRNA". It matches the Rfam family "Bacterial small subunit ribosomal RNA", at positions 94 to 578 of the family's 1533-position model. Lineage: Bacteria; Pseudomonadati; Pseudomonadota; Alphaproteobacteria. The record is from RNAcentral.